This 2243-nucleotide unclassified non-coding RNA is filed under the name Hevea brasiliensis (rubber tree). Lineage: Eukaryota; Viridiplantae; Streptophyta; Magnoliopsida; Malpighiales; Euphorbiaceae. The record is from RNAcentral.
CAAAAACAAAUAGAGUCUUAAUCGCUUGUUGCAUAAAUACCAGGGGAACAAAACAAGGAAUAAAAGCAAAUAAGGGCACAUUCCAUGCCUCAGCAACCCCAAUAAUGUGAAAUCACUCUAAAUCAAAUUCGCAUACAACAGACAAAUAUCAAGACAGUCGAUGCUAUUAAAGCAAACUAGUGUCCAUAUGGGACAGCUCAUUCCCUCGCCACAAUCACUCCAUCCUACUUGGUAGAUAACACUCAUACCUACAUGGUAGAAGACUGGGGAAUAAAAAAAAAGCAGCAUACAUAUUAUGUAUACAUCCAUACAAACGGCAAGCAUAUGGAUAUGAAUAUGCGGGUAACGAUCUCACCGCAGGAUAAAGUGAAAACAGAAAAAGACUUCCUAAUUGUUUAAGACUCAAAUUACACCUGCAAAGGGAGGAAAUAAAGGUCUGACGUUAACUCUUAUCAUUACUGGUAGUACAUAAGUUGUUGGGUAGCAGCAACAUUCUGAAACCCACCAUCAUAUAUUGCUUGGCUUGCUCCAGCCGCACCCAUUCCCAUUGCUGCUUGUUUAAGAGGGUGUUGCCCCUGAGGGUGCAUCAAGGCAUGGACACCGCCCAUCUUGCCCAUUGCUAGUUGCCGCUCAUAUGCCAAAAGGUCAGUAGCUGAGAGGCCUGGCAAAGGUGCAGCUGCAGGCGGGGGGAGUGGGUUUGAACUUGUCCCUGGUGGAGUGGGCUUGCUACCCCAAGAGCACUACAAGCACAAGAACAGCAUUUGAAAAUCAGUUUCCAAUCGAAAUGUAAAGGGCUCCUUCAAAUUUCUCCCACAUGAAAAUACACCCCUCCUUCCAGGACAUCAAAAUUAUACCUAGAUGCUAGAUACAUAAAGGUAAAAAGUACAAUUUGACAUACCUUUAUUUGUUUGCCAUAAAGAAUUGACUGGGUGUUUCCCAUCUGAAUAGCAAGAGCUGCCUCAGCAUGAGUACCAUACCUCACAAAACCAAAUCCUUUAUCCUGCUGGACUCUGACCUCCUCAAUAACUCCAGCACCAAAAGCAUGGAAGUGGCGGUGGAGAUCAAGCUGGGUAACCUCUGGGGCAAGAUUUCCCACAUAUACAGUUGUAUACUGAGGAUUGUUUUCUGGGGCCUCAUUAUUAGCUGUCUCUUUACCCUCUUCUGAUGCACCAUUUGUUAGUUCCACCACACUUUUAGCAUCAGAGCUUUGUUUGUCAUCAUUGGUACCAGCACCUUUCGUAGCCCAGUUACAACGAAUCUGUCUGCUCCCAAGCCACUUCCCUAAAAAUGAGCCAGACAAAUAAGCAUUAUUGUCAUGUACUGUAUAUGGGUUCAGCAUAAGUAUACUAUGAUUACUAAACUCCACCAGUUCACGUAAUCAAACUGGUAUAAUCCUAUAUCUUGCACCCAGUAAUAUUUAGCAAUAAUAAUUACCCUUUCUCAAUAAGGAGAAAGAGUUGAGAGUGGGUUAAAACUAUUAUAUGUAUAUACCUAUAUUGCUAGUAUUGUAAUGUUAAAUUUUCCUUUUCACCAUUACCAAUUGCAGAGAUAUUCAUAUAUAACUUGCAAAUAAUUUUACAGAAAAUAAAUCAGAAGGCAAAGUGAACAUAACACACUGCCUAUUUCUGAUGUGAAAAAGUGAUUAGGUUGAGAAAAAGUGACUAAUUCAGCAAUUGAACUUUAUUGGAUAAGUGUUAGGGCACAUAAGAGUAAUAAUCCUGAAGCUAAAACAAAUUUCAGUAAUUCCCUUAACCCAUACCUGUUAAGUCAUUUAUUGCACUUUGGGCAUCCUGCUGACUCCUGAAAGAAACAAACCCAAAACCCCUUGAGCGCCCAGUCUUCUGGUCCCACAUAACUCUUGCAUCUGAACAACUACGAUACACAGAGAAGCAUGCAUACAACGUAGCAUCUGUAACUUCAGGGCUUAGAUCACCAACAAAAACAUUGAAAUGACCUGUUGUAUCUUCUCUUUGACUACUAGCAUAAGCCCAGUUGACUUUAAUUGGUUGUCCAAACAGAUGCCUUCCAUUAAGGGUCACAAUGGCAAGAGCAGCUGAUCUGCGAUCAAAGUAAUCAACAAAACCAUAGGAUGACUUCUCUUUCCUAAUCAGCUUAAAUCCUUCAAUGGGUCCAGUGUUUGAGAAAACUUCUUGAAGAAGGGGUUCUGUAACCUGAGGGUGGAUGUUACCUACAUACACACUGCGGCAUGUACUCGAAUCAAAACCAGGAGGCAGAUUUCCACU